CCCUUAGAUGUUCUGGGCGGCCCGCGCACUACAUUGGCACUGGCAACAAGAUCCUAGAUCUGAUAUUUCGGGGUAUUCUACCAACUGGUGUCGUGACUGGGAUUAACCCCUGCAAUUAUUGGUUAUGAACGAGGAAUUCCUUGUAAUCACGGUUUAUCAACCCGUGUUGAAUGCGGCCCUGCCCUUUGUACACACCGCCCGUCGCUCCUACCGAUGAAUCGUCCGGUGAAGUUCAUGGAGUCGCGGCUGCUCCAGCUGUUUUCGAAGUGAAAUGGACCUCAUGAUUUAGAGGAAGGAGAAGUCGUAACA
RNAcentral lists this ribosomal RNA (309 nucleotides) under uncultured eukaryote. Its description in RNAcentral is "partial 18S ribosomal RNA". It matches the Rfam family "Eukaryotic small subunit ribosomal RNA", at positions 1470 to 1796 of the family's 1831-position model. The record is from RNAcentral.